Pan troglodytes (chimpanzee) is the source of this 1074-nucleotide long non-coding RNA. RefSeq lists it as uncharacterized. The transcript has 3 exons. The record is from RefSeq and is a predicted model, not a curated record. NCBI's taxonomy places the organism in Eukaryota, Metazoa, Chordata, Mammalia, Primates, Hominidae.
GUCUCCCGCAGGCCCCUCUGGUAGUCCUCUUCCCACCCGCCGCCCGGGGCUGCGCCGCAGCCGCCGCCGCACCCUCCAGCACCGCCGCCCCAGUCCCAGCAGCCGCCGCGUCGCCGCCAUUUUUUAAAGGGUCCGCAGCCUGACUCUGCCGAGUAAGGGGGGUGGGGCGGGUGAGUCGGCCUCGCCAGUGCGCAUGCGCGAGGCCCGAGCCGCCGCUUUGGUCACAGUGACCGCCACCGUUGCCCGGGGAUAGGUCCCUGAGAUGAGACUUGGCGAAGUAGGAGCCCUGUGUGAUGGUGCGUCAGAGUCGGGGCUGAGGCCAGCCCCGGCCAGGGCAGUUACCAGGACGGUCUCCGGAGGCCGGGAUUCGCGGAGGGUCCACCAGCAGGAAGAAACUCCAGGAGGAAGAAACCUCAGACAGAUCGCCAGGGAGGCAGCGCGGGAUCCCAGCCUCAGGCGUGCGCGGAUGGUGUGCGGAGAGGUAGAAGCAAGAGAAGCAUAAACAUAUAAUUUCAAUGCAAUAUGGGAAUUUUGUACAGAGUUCCUAAAAAAAGGGAUCACGAUGCCAGUGUAUUGCCUCACUGAUUGCUAAAUGAAGAGGACUAUAAUGAAGCAUUCAAAGAACGUGAUGUGCCUCUGGGGCAACUGAAGGAUUGCUAUCUGACUUAUGCAUUUAAAACCUUCGAAGUGGAAGUUUGUCUGGAAUGGCUUAGGCAAACAGACUGGGUUGGAUUGAGAAUUGAAUGUAUACAUAAAAUUUGGUUUGGUCAGAUGAGAACACCAAAUGUGGUAGCUAGAUCACCGUUAUUUAUGAGAUUUUUAUUGGGUUGAUUUGUCUUGAAAGAAUCAAAUCUAAGAGAAAUGUUUGGAAUGGCUAGAUGAUCCUAAUAGAAGAAAUCUUACAGGUCUUUACUGCUAAAGCUAAGGAGAUGAGAGUAAACAGUAAGUGGCCAAUUCAAAGAAGCAUGGACUAUGUUGAAACAUGGACUAUAGCUGCAAUUUCCCAGUGGUGCAGUUUUCAAGCGUUUUACCCCAGGAAAGAAAAAAAUAAAUAAAUGAAAAGUAGCCAUUUCA